This 439-nucleotide long non-coding RNA is filed under the name Salmo salar (Atlantic salmon). Its description in RNAcentral is "lncRNA (ENSSSAG00000095486.1, ENSSSAG00020074477.1)". The record is from RNAcentral. Lineage: Eukaryota; Metazoa; Chordata; Actinopteri; Salmoniformes; Salmonidae.
GGAUGUUAGCUAUUUCAGAGUGUUCGUGCAUGACACAAACAACUCUACCUGCAGGAAACAAACAAGGGAUGCAAAACCGUGAGGAAAUCUGUAUAAAUAAAGACAUCAAUUAGAUGUGAAUCCAGUGCUUGCAUCAGCUUGAGAGGUAAGUGCAGUCGGGCUGUCUUCCUUCAGUAAUCUGUGGAGAAAAUUGCUGCCCCACAUCUCAAGCACUUAGCCCAGAACAUACCUGUGCUGGCAGUGCCAGAGGACCAACAAUCAGGUCUUAAGAUCUGCCACUCUGCCAGAAGCUGUUAAAUCAGCCAAGCUGAAGAAGCAAGAGCAGCAUCUCCUGCUUGUUCAGAUUGAGUGGUCUAUCUACCAGAAGAUGGUUUCUGACUGCGAGACCACCUGUCAAGACCUGCAGUUGUCUCUGGGGAGCCCUACUGAAGCAGCAAGC